This 235-nucleotide unclassified non-coding RNA is filed under the name Glomus sp. Its description in RNAcentral is "partial contains 5.8S ribosomal RNA and internal transcribed spacer 2". The stretch from base 1 to 71 matches the Rfam family "5.8S ribosomal RNA", at positions 84 to 154 of the family's 154-position model. The record is from RNAcentral. Lineage: Eukaryota; Fungi; Glomeromycota; Glomeromycetes; Glomerales; Glomeraceae.
GUGAAUCAUCGAAUUUUUGAACGCACAUUGCGCUCUUUGGUAUUCCGGAGAGUAUGCCUGUUUGAGGGUCAGUUUAAAUAAAAAUCGGUGUGGUUGCUGCCGUUCGUGGUUACGCACCGGAUAUGGGUCGUCUAGCCUUCGGUUAAGUGACCUAAAAUUUUGCAUGAUUUUUUUCGUACGUAUUUAAAUGAUGUUACGUACGUUUGCGAUAAAUAAAACUAAUCGUUGUCCUCCU